UGCCCAGCAACUCCUAUCCCUACCUCCACGCGGUACAGGCCGGAAACUAUGAGCAACCUUAGGGAAGA
Aedes albopictus (Asian tiger mosquito) is the source of this 68-nucleotide non-coding RNA. The record is from Rfam. Lineage: Eukaryota; Metazoa; Arthropoda; Insecta; Diptera; Culicidae.